This 723-nucleotide ribosomal RNA is filed under the name Salmonella enterica subsp. enterica serovar Give. RNAcentral's name for it is "partial 23S ribosomal RNA". It matches the Rfam family "Bacterial large subunit ribosomal RNA", at positions 582 to 1298 of the family's 2925-position model. Lineage: Bacteria; Pseudomonadati; Pseudomonadota; Gammaproteobacteria; Enterobacterales; Enterobacteriaceae. The record is from RNAcentral.
CCCUUUUGGGUGUGACUGCGUACCUUUUGUAUAAUGGGUCAGCGACUUAUAUUCUGUAGCAAGGUUAACCGAAUAGGGGAGCCGGAGGGAAACCGAGUCUUAACCGGGCGUUAAGUUGCAGGGUAUAGACCCGAAACCCGGUGAUCUAGCCAUGGGCAGGUUGAAGGUUGGGUAACACUAACUGGAGGACCGAACCGACUAAUGUUGAAAAAUUAGCGGAUGACCUGUGGCUGGGGGUGAAAGGCCAAUCAAACCGGGAGAUAGCUGGUUCUCCCCGAAAGCUAUUUAGGUAGCGCCUCGUGAAUUCAUCUCCGGGGGUAGAGCACUGUUUCGGCUAGGGGGCCAUCCCGGCUUACCAACCCGAUGCAAACUGCGAAUACCGGAGAAUGUUAUCACGGGAGACACACGGCGGGUGCUAACGUCCGUCGUGAAGAGGGAAACAACCCAGACCGCCAGCUAAGGUCCCAAAGUCAUGGUUAAGUGGGAAACGAUGUGGGAAGGCCCAGACAGCCAGGAUGUUGGCUUAGAAGCAGCCAUCAUUUAAAGAAAGCGUAAUAGCUCACUGGUCGAGUCGGCCUGCGCGGAAGAUGUAACGGGGCUAAACCAUGCACCGAAGCUGCGGCAGCGAACGUAUCACCCAAGACAACUUUACGGAGUUGACGAUUGACGGAGCGAAGCGACGUCAAAGCGUUCAUUAAAGUCGAGUUGGCUUAGGGAUACGUU